CAGCCGCGGUAAUACGGAGGGUGCGAGCGUUGUCCGGAAUCACUGGGCGUAAAGGGCGCGUAGGCGGUUUGCUAAGACAGGUGUGAAAUCCCCGGGCUUAACCUGGGAACUGCGCUUGUGACUGGCAGGCUAGAGUACGGCAGAGGGGGGUGGAAUUCCUGGUGUAGCAGUGAAAUGCGUAGAUAUCAGGAGGAACACCGAUGGCGAAGGCAGCCCCCUGGGCCUGUACUGACGCUCAUGCACGAAAGCGUGGGGAGCAAAC
Molecule: ribosomal RNA, 262 nt
Filed under: uncultured bacterium
Lineage: Bacteria
Description: partial 16S ribosomal RNA
Rfam family: Bacterial small subunit ribosomal RNA
Source: RNAcentral